Molecule: long non-coding RNA, 567 nt
Organism: Bubalus bubalis (water buffalo)
Lineage: Eukaryota; Metazoa; Chordata; Mammalia; Artiodactyla; Bovidae
Exons: 3
Source: RefSeq, a predicted model, not a curated record
UUUUAAGAAACAACCUAGUGUUUUAUCUUCUUUGACUUCCAGCACUCUCUCCUGUGAGAUGUCCAUAUGGACAGGCUCAGUAGGUACCUGGUGGUAGGGCCUAGUGCAACCAGCAUAUACCCUCAUCUCUGGCUUGAACCCCAGACUGUCAGGUAUUGGAUGGGAAAUUGUUUUAAGGGCAGAUAACCAAACAGAAGGGCAGCCUUCAGAACAGAUGGAAAGCUCAGCACCAAGAGGGAACCAUUAGAGAAAUCAAGCAUAGCAUAAGGAUUGUCUCAAAUCUUGUGUUCAGGAAUCUGUAAACCUCAGACCACCACAUCAAGGGAAAUAAAGCGAACCUUUCACUUGGUGACAAGACUUUAUAGAACAUCACUACACAAGUUGCUCUAAGAUCAUCAUGCAGGUGCAGGGGGCUCCUUGAACAAAUUAUUCAAGAAUAAGGAGGACUCUGCUGGAUUCAACUUCUUCCUGAAUGCUUCUCCCAUUCCAAGACUGGUUUAGUCUACCCUGCCACCUGCUUUCAAUGAAAUACCUUCAACUUUUCCAUCAUAACUGACCUCCCCCCCC